Molecule: ribosomal RNA, 429 nt
Filed under: Chloroflexota bacterium
Lineage: Bacteria; Bacillati; Chloroflexota
Description: Chloroflexi bacterium partial 16S ribosomal RNA
Rfam family: Bacterial small subunit ribosomal RNA
Source: RNAcentral
UGGGGAAUAUUGCACAAUGGGCGCAAGCCUGAUGCAGCCAUGCCGCGUGUAUGAAGAAGGCCUUCGGGUUGUAAAGCACUUUCAGCGGGGAGGAAGGCGGUGAGGUUAAUAACCUCAUCGAUUGACGUUACCCGCAGAAGAAGCACCGGCUAACUCCGUGCCAGCAGCCGCGGUAAUACGGAGGGUGCAAGCGUUAAUCGGACUUACUGGGCGUAAAGCGCACGCAGGCGGUCUGUCAAGUCGGAUGUGAAAUCCCCGGGCUCAACCUGGGAACUGCAUUCGAAACUGGCAGGCUAGAGUCUUGUAGAGGGGGGUAGAAUUCCAGGUGUAGCGGUGAAAUGCGUAGAGAUCUGGAGGAAUACCGGUGGCGAAGGCGGCCACCUGGACAAAGACUGACGCUCAGGUGCGAAAGCGUGGGGAGCAAACAGG